GCGCCCGUAGCUUAAUUGGAUAGAGCAUCUGACUACGGAUCAGAAGGUUGUGAGUUCGAGUCCCGCCGGGCGCGCCA
This 77-nucleotide transfer RNA is filed under the name Treponema sp. Its description in RNAcentral is "tRNA-Arg". It matches the Rfam family "tRNA". Rfam says of the family: Transfer RNA (tRNA) molecules are approximately 80 nucleotides in length. Their secondary structure includes four short double-helical elements and three loops (D, anti-codon, and T loops). RNAcentral also lists the same sequence under 3 other names. The record is from RNAcentral. Lineage: Bacteria; Pseudomonadati; Spirochaetota; Spirochaetia; Treponematales; Treponemataceae.